This 73-nucleotide transfer RNA is filed under the name Cordylochernes scorpioides. RNAcentral's name for it is "tRNA-Thr". It matches the Rfam family "tRNA". Rfam says of the family: Transfer RNA (tRNA) molecules are approximately 80 nucleotides in length. Their secondary structure includes four short double-helical elements and three loops (D, anti-codon, and T loops). Further hydrogen bonds mediate the characteristic L-shaped molecular structure. tRNAs have two regions of fundamental functional importance: the anti-codon, which is responsible for specific mRNA codon recognition, and the 3' end, to which the tRNAs corresponding amino acid is attached (by aminoacyl-tRNA synthetases). tRNAs cope with the degeneracy of the genetic code in two manners: having more than one tRNA (with a specific anti-codon) for a particular amino acid; and 'wobble' base-pairing, i.e. permitting non-standard base-pairing at the 3rd anti-codon position. Lineage: Eukaryota; Metazoa; Arthropoda; Arachnida; Pseudoscorpiones; Chernetidae. The record is from RNAcentral.
UCCAGGGUAGCCUAGUGGAUAUGGCAUCUGCCCGGUAAGCGGAACAAUGUGGGUUCGAUUCCCAUCCCUGGAC